GGACUACCGGGGUUUCUAAUCCUGUUUGCUCCCCUAGCUUUCGAGUCUUAGCGUCAGUUAAGGCCCAGGCAUUCGCCUUCGCCGCCGGUGUUCUUCCCGAUAUCUGCGCAUUUCACCGCUACACCGGGAAUUCCAAUGCCCCCUGCCCAACUCAAGACGCCCAGUAUCCGCAGACCCCUCCCGGUUAAGCCGGGAGAUUUCACUACGGACUUAGGCACCCGCCUACACUCGCUUUACGCCUAGUGAUUCCGAAUAACGCUCGCCACCUACGUCUUACCGCGGCUGCUGGCAC
RNAcentral lists this ribosomal RNA (292 nucleotides) under uncultured bacterium. RNAcentral's name for it is "partial 16S ribosomal RNA". The record is from RNAcentral.